AAGAAGGAAGGUGCUCAGAAAAAGGCUGCUGAACAAAAAACCAAAGGUUCUUUCUGUAAUGGAGAGAGACUGUCUUGUUGAUGGAGUGUUUUUCCUG
Nothoprocta perdicaria is the source of this 97-nucleotide long non-coding RNA. RefSeq lists it as uncharacterized. Lineage: Eukaryota; Metazoa; Chordata; Aves; Tinamiformes; Tinamidae. The record is from RefSeq and is a predicted model, not a curated record. The transcript has 3 exons.